RNAcentral lists this ribosomal RNA (456 nucleotides) under uncultured bacterium. RNAcentral describes it as "bacterial SSU rRNA". It matches the Rfam family "Bacterial small subunit ribosomal RNA", at positions 340 to 786 of the family's 1533-position model. The record is from RNAcentral.
UACGGAAGGCAGCAGUGGGGUAAUAUUGCACAAUGGGCGCAAGCCUGAUGCAGCCAUGCCGCGUGUAUGAAGAAGGCCUUCGGGUUGUAAAGUACUUUCAGUCGUGAGGAAGGUGUUAAGGUUAAUAACCUUAGCAAUUGACGUUAGCGACAGAAGAAGCACCGGCUAACUCCGUGCCAGCAGCCGCGGUAAUACGGAGGGUGCGAGCGUUAAUCGGAAUUACUGGGCGUAAAGGGCACGCAGGCGGUUAAUUAAGUUGGAUGUGAAAUCCCCGGGCUUAACCUGGGAAUGGCAUUCAAGACUGGUUAGCUAGAGUCUUGUAGAGGGGGUAGAAUUCCGAUGUGUAGCGGUGAAAUGCGUAGAGAUGUGGAGGAAUACCGGUGGCGAAGGCGGCCCCUGGGACAAAGACUGACGCUCAUGUGCGAAAGCGUGGGGAGCAAACAGGGAUUAGAUACC